ACCACCAUGCCCUGCCUGCUUAGCUUUCUAAAGAAUGCCAAGUGUUUUUCCAAAGUUGUUCCACUCUGUACUCCCUGUGGGACAGGUAGCAGUGUACGUAGCAGUAUGAGAGCAGUAUGACUAGCAGUGUGUGAGAGCUCCUGGUAAUAUUAGGCUUUUUAAAAAGUUUUCACCAAUUCGGUAGGCAUGUAAUGGGAUUUAACUGUAGUGUGAAUUUCUUCCAAUAUUUUGAAGGCUUGUGAGGAUUCUGUGAGGAAAAGAAGCCCUUUUGUUUAAGAGUUUCUUAAGGGGAAUUUAAACCAUAAUUGUAUUAUAGUUAUUUUUGAACAUGUAUAAAGAAAAGGUUUCCAACACUGAAGCUUUAGGUAAGAUAAAAGGUCAUUAAAAUGGGAAGGGUCUUACCAGAAAUUAGUUUUCUGGAAUGUGCAAGAUUUUGGAAGAUGCAGUAUUUAAUUUUUAUCUAAUUAAUGAUCUUUAUCAUGUAAGAGUAUUUUCACUAUGUGGCUGAAUAAUGUUAGCCAGAUAAUUUUCCUGCAGCUCAUCUAACUUAGAUGACCUUUAGUCUAGACAUGCACACCACAGAGCGUGGCGAUGGAACAGUAACCGGGCUUGUGAGAGGGCUCUACACUAUCAACUAGGAGACAAGAUCCACGGAUUCACCAUAAACCAGGCAGGAAGGAUGGCGGCUGGAACACGAGAAUCCUAGCGACCCCAGACACCCUUGGUCUUUAAAGGAGUCGUCUUUAGUGAGAUGAAGGGAGGGUUUGUAAGUUUUCUUUCUUUUUAAUGUUGUGUUCAGCUUACCUUACCCAUGUACAGAACCAUGAUACAGACACAUCUGGAAGGUGGUUGAUUUUUAUAUAAUAUUCUCAUUAUAGGUGACAUGUUCUUGGAUUAGCUAGGUCAGUGCUGUGAGCAGAAGCCAGGGGAUUAGCAGGGCCAGGAUGCUGUCUCAGACCAUGUCUGACGACCCCCGUGUAUGAUCUGCAGCGAGAGAAAAGCUCUUUUCAUACCACUAUCAACACAUUGUCUUUUUCACUCAUUCUUGCCCAAGUACAUGGUGUACUUUCUAGAGGCUGCGUGGCGAGGUGUGUGACACGCACCAAGCUGCAUACAGAGCAGAUGGGGGAGUCCAGCUUCACCUCUGACCCAGACACUACAGAGGUUUGCAAAAAAGGCAACACAGCAUCACUCUAAGUAAUCAGUUUUUUACUUUGUUAUGAGAAAUAUUUUUCAAACAUAUUUAUAUUAUCAUGUAAUGAUGGCUUACCUUAAUGCAUAAGUAGUUUUUAAAUGUCUCAGCUUUAAUUUAGAAUAUAGAAAAAUUAUAUAAACACACACAGGCAC
Chlorocebus sabaeus (green monkey) is the source of this 1347-nucleotide non-coding RNA. NCBI's taxonomy places the organism in Eukaryota, Metazoa, Chordata, Mammalia, Primates, Cercopithecidae. The record is from RefSeq and is a predicted model, not a curated record.